GCAAUGGGCGAAGCCUGAUGCAGCGACGCCGCGUGAGGGAUGACGGCCUUCGGGUUGUAAACCUCUUUCAGCAGGGAAGAAGCGAAAGUGACGGUACCUGCAGAAGAAGCGCCGGCUAACUACGUGCCAGCAGCCGCGGUAAUACGUAGGGCGCGAGCGUUGUCCGGAAUUAUUGGGCGUAAAGAGCUCGUAGGCGGCUUGUCGCGUCGGUUGUGAAAGCCCGGGGCUUAACCCCGGGUCUGCAGUCGAUACGGGCAGGCUAGAGUUCGGUAGGGGAGAUCGGAAUUCCUGGUGUAGCGGUGAAAUGCGCAGAUAUCAGGAGGAACACCGGUGGCGAAGGCGGAUCUCUGGGCCGAUACUGACGCUGAGGAGCGAAAGCGUGGGGAGCGAACAGGAUUAGAUACCCUGGUAGUCCACGCCGUAAACGGUGGGCACUAGGUGUGGGCGACAUUCCACGUCGUCCGUGCCGCAGCUAACGCAUUAAGUGCCCCGCCUGGGGAGUACGGCCGCAAGGCUAAAACUCAAAUGAAAUUGACGGA
The sequence is a ribosomal RNA, 539 nucleotides long. It matches the Rfam family "Bacterial small subunit ribosomal RNA", at positions 368 to 917 of the family's 1533-position model.